CCUACGGGGGGCUGCAGUGGGGAAUAUUGCACAAUGGGCGCAAGCCUGAUGCAGCCAUGCCGCGUGUGUGAAGAAGGCCUUCGGGUUGUAAAGCACUUUCAGCGGGGAGGAAGGUGGUGAGGUUAAUAACCUCAUCGAUUGACGUUACCCGCAGAAGAAGCACCGGCUAACUCCGUGCCAGCAGCCGCGGUAAUACGGAGGGUGCAAGCGUUAAUCGGAAUUACUGGGCGUAAAGCGCACGCAGGCGGUCUGUCAAGUCGGAUGUGAAAUCCCCGGGCUCAACCUGGGAACUGCAUUCGAAACUGGCAGGCUAGAGUCUUGUAGAGGGGGGUAGAAUUCCAGGUGUAGCGGUGAAAUGCGUAGAGAUCUGGAGGAAUACCGGUGGCGAAGGCGGCCCCCUGGACAAAGACUGACGCUCAGGUGCGAAAGCGUGGGGAGCAAACAGGAUUAGAUACCCCUGUAGUC
This 465-nucleotide ribosomal RNA is filed under the name uncultured Klebsiella sp. Its description in RNAcentral is "bacterial SSU rRNA". It matches the Rfam family "Bacterial small subunit ribosomal RNA", at positions 338 to 795 of the family's 1533-position model. Lineage: Bacteria; Pseudomonadati; Pseudomonadota; Gammaproteobacteria; Enterobacterales; Enterobacteriaceae. The record is from RNAcentral.